This 451-nucleotide ribosomal RNA is filed under the name uncultured bacterium. RNAcentral's name for it is "partial 16S ribosomal RNA". It matches the Rfam family "Bacterial small subunit ribosomal RNA", at positions 355 to 797 of the family's 1533-position model. The record is from RNAcentral.
UAGGGAAUCUUCCACAAUGGACGCAAGUCUGAUGGAGCAACGCCGCGUGAGUGAAGAAGGUCUUCGGAUCGUAAAGCUCUGUUGUUGGUGAAGAAGGAUAGAGGCAGUAACUGGUCUUUAUUUGACGGUAAUCAACCAGAAAGUCACGGCUAACUACGUGCCAGCAGCCGCGGUAAUACGUAGGUGGCAAGCGUUGUCCGGAUUUAUUGGGCGUAAAGCGAGCGCAGGCGGAAUGAUAAGUCUGAUGUGAAAGCCCACGGCUCAACCGUGGAACUGCAUCGGAAACUGUCAUUCUUGAGUGCAGAAGAGGAGAGUGGAACUCCAUGUGUAGCGGUGGAAUGCGUAGAUAUAUGGAAGAACACCAGUGGCGAAGGCGGCUCUCUGGUCUGCAACUGACGCUGAGGCUCGAAAGCAUGGGUAGCGAACAGGAAUUAGAUACCCUGGUAGUCCA